This 736-nucleotide ribosomal RNA is filed under the name uncultured bacterium. RNAcentral describes it as "bacterial SSU rRNA". It matches the Rfam family "Bacterial small subunit ribosomal RNA", at positions 56 to 773 of the family's 1533-position model. The record is from RNAcentral.
UGCAGUCGAGCGGAACGAGUUGUCUGAACCUUCGGGGAACGAUAACGGCGUCGAGCGGCGGACGGGUGAGUAAUGCCUGGGAAAUUGCCCUGAUGUGGGGGAUAACCAUUGGAAACGAUGGCUAAUACCGCAUAAUAGCUUCGGCUCAAAGAGGGGGACCUUCGGGCCUCUCGCGUCAGGAUAUGCCCAGGUGGGAUUAGCUAGUUGGUGAGGUAAGGGCUCACCAAGGCGACGAUCCCUAGCUGGUCUGAGAGGAUGAUCAGCCACACUGGAACUGAGACACGGUCCAGACUCCUACGGGAGGCAGCAGUGGGGAAUAUUGCACAAUGGGCGCAAGCCUGAUGCAGCCAUGCCGCGUGUAUGAAGAAGGCCUUCGGGUUGUAAAGUACUUUCAGCAGUGAGGAAGGUGGUGUACUUAAUACGUGCAUCAUUUGACGUUAGCUGCAGAAGAAGCACCGGCUAACUCCGUGCCAGCAGCCGCGGUAAUACGGAGGGUGCGAGCGUUAAUCGGAAUUACUGGGCGUAAAGCGCAUGCAGGUGGUUUGUUAAGUCAGAUGUGAAAGCCCGGGGCUCAACCUCGGAAUUGCAUUUGAAACUGACAGACUAGAGUACUGUAGAGGGGGGUAGAAUUUCAGGUGUAGCGGUGAAAUGCGUAGAGAUCUGAAGGAAUACCGGUGGCGAAGGCGGCCCCCUGGACAGAUACUGACACUCAGAUGCGAAAGCGUGGGGAGCAAAC